GUUCAUCACCCUUCUCAAGAACAAUAGUAUAGAACCCUUUGUAGUUCAGCCGCCUAAAGUUUGACCCGCAGCUAUAAACAACACUCUGAAUUACAUUGAUUUUACUUCGCUGGUCAACAAUGGGCACAAAACACUCAUUCAUGAUGGAGAAAGCAACAGCUAACUUGCAAUUGCAUUCUAUGUCUACUAGAUCGUCAGUCAAAUUUGUAUCCCUGCCAAAAUCACGAUGUUGAAGAAGUCUCCAACAAAAUCCUUCAUCCAAGUCAUGCUUUACACCAAGAAGCACCUGCAGGCCUUCAAAAAUCUUCUGGCAUCCCUUUCCGCAAAACGAUAGAUCUUUAGUAUCAAAACCGAGAGCACUGUCACCGGGGACACAAGGCAAAUGGAAUUUUCCCUCACACAAAUGGCAUUUUAACAACUCAGAUACUGCCAUGCCAUCCUGCACAUCAUUUUCUGAGGAGUUUCUGACAACUGUCCCACAGAAUUUGCAUGAACAAUAAACACAUCUCCAAUCUCCAGAAGGUAACUUUUGAAUAUCUAAGC
RNAcentral lists this unclassified non-coding RNA (543 nucleotides) under Hevea brasiliensis (rubber tree). The record is from RNAcentral. Lineage: Eukaryota; Viridiplantae; Streptophyta; Magnoliopsida; Malpighiales; Euphorbiaceae.